Molecule: ribosomal RNA, 379 nt
Filed under: uncultured bacterium
Lineage: Bacteria
Description: bacterial SSU rRNA
Rfam family: Bacterial small subunit ribosomal RNA
Source: RNAcentral
UAUUGGACAAUGGGCGAAAGCCUGAUCCAGCAAUGCCGCGUGAAUGAUGAAGGCCUUAGCGUCGUAAAGUUCUUUUAGUGGGGAAGAUAAUGACGGUACCCACAGAAAAAGCACCGGCUAACUUCGUGCCAGCAGCCGCGGUAAUACGAAGGGUGCAAGCGUUGUUCGGAAUUACUGGGCGUAAAGCGCGCGUAGGCGGUUUGAUUAGUUGGGAGUGAAAUCCCGGGGCUUAACUCCGGAAUUGCUUUCAAAACUAUCAAUCUAGAGUAUGGCAGGGGACAGUGGAAUUCCUAGUGUAGAGGUGAAAUUCGUAGAUAUUAGGAGGAACACCAGUGGCGAAAGCGACUGUCUGGACCAUUACUGACGCUGAGGCGCGAAA